Molecule: ribosomal RNA, 413 nt
Filed under: uncultured microorganism
Description: bacterial SSU rRNA
Rfam family: Archaeal small subunit ribosomal RNA
Source: RNAcentral
GGGCUGCAGUUAAGAAUAAUCUACAAUGCACGCAAGUGUGAUAGUUUGAGCCAGAGUGUCUCUCAACGAGAGACUUUUGUGAAAUGCAAAAAGUUUCACGAAUAAGGACUGGGUAAGACUAGUGCCAGCCGCCGCGGUAAUACUAGCGGUCCAAGUCGCAGCCAUUUUUAUUGGGUCUAAAACAUCCGUAGCUUGCUAUUUAAGUUCCUUGUGAAAUCCUAUAUCUCAAAUAUAGAACGUGCAAGGAGUACUGAAUAGCUAGAGACCGGAAGACGUGAGAAGUACGUUUAAAGUAGCGGUAAAAUGCGUUAAUCUUAGACGGACUAACAAUAGCGAAGGCAUCUCACGAGGACGGUUCUGACAGUAAGGGAUGAAAGCUAGGGGCGCAAAACGGAUUAGAUACCCGUGUAGUC